CACCCGGUAGCACAUGGUGUGCAUCUGCAGACCUUACAAAGUGCCCAGUUGAUCAAAUGAAGUCGCAGAAGGUCCCCGUUCGAUCCGGGGUCGGGUGU
This is a non-coding RNA of Mycena galericulata, 98 nucleotides long. The record is from the annotation of a GenBank genome assembly. Lineage: Eukaryota; Fungi; Basidiomycota; Agaricomycetes; Agaricales; Mycenaceae.